RNAcentral lists this ribosomal RNA (250 nucleotides) under uncultured bacterium. RNAcentral's name for it is "partial 16S ribosomal RNA". It matches the Rfam family "Bacterial small subunit ribosomal RNA", at positions 524 to 776 of the family's 1533-position model. The record is from RNAcentral.
AACGGAGGGGGCAAGCGUUAUUCAUCGUAAUUGGGCGUAAAGGGUAUGUAGGCGAUUUGUUGUAUUGUAGUGUUAAAAAGCCAUAUAUUCAUAUGGUAGGAGUUGCAAUAUAAAAAUUCGGAAAUUACGAGGUUGGCAGAAUUACUAAUGUAGAGGUAAAAAUUCGGAAAUAUUAGUAGGAAUACCAAAGGCGAAAGCAGCCUUCUUGUGUUUUUGACGCUGAUGUACUAAAGCAUGGGGAUCAAACAGG